RNAcentral lists this long non-coding RNA (3172 nucleotides) under Pelobates cultripes (western spadefoot toad). Lineage: Eukaryota; Metazoa; Chordata; Amphibia; Anura; Pelobatidae. The record is from RNAcentral.
GACGUUGGUGAACAGAGGGAGACUGAGCUGCUUGUUUGCUGAGUGCCCGACACUAAUCCUCACCCGGUAACACCGGAAAUAGAAUGUCUAUGGAGGUUAUUGGGGAUUAGAAAUCUGAAUAUGAAUUAUUAGGAGAAUAGAAUUCACCAUGUGAGGGAUCAGGGGGUUAAUCUCUCUAUACAGGAUACUGGGGGGAUUAGAUAAUCCUAUACAGGAUACUGGGGGGGUUAGAUAAUCCUAUACAGGAUACUGGGGGGAUUAGAUAAUCCUAUACAGGAUACUGGGGGGUUAGAUAAUCCUAUACAGGAUACUGGGGGGGUUAGAUAAUCCUAUACAGGAUACUGGGGGAUUAGAUAAUCCUAUACAGGAUACUGGGGUGGUUAGAUAAUCCUAUACAGGAUACUGGGGGGGUUAGAUAAUCCUAUACAGGAUACUGGGGGGGUUAUAUAAUCCUAUACAGGAUACUGGGGGAUUAGAUAAUCCUAUACAGGAUACUGGGGGGAUUAGAUAAUCCUAUACAGGAUACUGGGGGGGUUAGAUGAUCCUAUACAGGAUACUGGGGGGGUUAGAUGAUCCUAUACAGGAUACUGGGGGGGUUAGAUGAUCCCUAUACAGGAUACUGGGGGGGUUGGGUGUCCUAUACAGCACAGGAUACUAGAGUUUAGAUGUCCUAUACAGGGAUACUGGGGUUAGAUAAUCCUAGCACAGGAAUACUGGGGGGUUGAAUGUCCUAUACAGGGGUACUGGGGGAUUAUCUCUCUAAACAGGAUACUGGGGGAUGAAUGAUGUCCUAUACAGGAUACUGGGGGUUAGAUAAUCCUAUACAGGAUACUGGGGGGGUUAGAUGAUCCUAUACAGGGUACUGGGGGGGUUAGAUAAUCCUAUACAGGAGACUGGGGGAUUAGAUAAUCCUAUACAGGAGACUGGGGGAUUAGAUAAUCCUAUACAGGAUACUGGGGGGGUUAGAUAAUCCUAUACAGGAUACUGGGGGUUGGGCUAAUCCUAUACACGGGAUGCUGGGGGGUUGGGCAAAUACAUAUACAGGGAUACUGGGGGGUUGGAUAAUCCUAUACAGGAUGCACAGGGGUUAGAUAAUCCUAUACUGGAUACUGGGGGUUAGAUGAUCCUAUACAGAAUACUGGGGGGGGGGGAGGGGGCUUAGAUGAUCCUAUACAGGAUACUGGGGGGAUUAGAUGAUGCUAUUUCGUAUAUAGGGGAAAUAGAUGUCCCUAUGUAGGUUUUUGGGGGAUUAGAUGUCCCUAUGUAGGCUAUGGGAGUGGGGAGUUAGUUAUCCUUUUUAGAUAGUAAUUUCUUUUCUAUCAGUAACCUAAACAAGGAUAACGAACUCCCUACUCCCAUAACCUACAUAGGGAGAAGUUAGUAUGUAUUUUUUCGGGGAUUAGAUGUCUGCAUAUAGAUUAUUGGGGAGUAGAUACCCAUGUAUAGGUUAUAAGGGUGGGUUAGAUGCCCCUAUGUAGGUUAUUGGAGGAAUAAAAGUUCUUAUAUAAUGGAGGGUGGUGUUAAGGGGAUUCGAUGUCUAUAUAUAGGUAACUGGGAGAAUAGAAGUCACUAUAUAUAGUAUUUGGGGGUAUUAGAUAUCCCUAUGUUGGUUUCUCUAGAUAAAAAGGCAGUGAUUGCUUAGAGAUGCCAGGGGGGCUAGGGAUACCCCAGUGACUGCCCGAUAUAUAUGUUAAUCUUGUUUGAGAUUUUUAUUACACCUUAUAUUACACAUAGAGAGGAAUGCUUCUAAUGCUUCCCGUUUUUUAACAGAUGCACAAAGUUCACAUGAAGAGGGGAUCCCUUCUUAUGUUAGAAUAGAGAUUAAAUGUGUUCUGGUACAUCUCUUGAAAUCUUUUGCUACUGCUAAUCUAUUUCUUCUCGCUGUAGGGCUCUAUAAAGAAGACCUGCAUAAUUACUGCUACCAUACAAGCUUCACUCUCACAGGUGCUAACAGAUGAUUGAGAUUCACGAACGCCUCUUUUAGGGUAAGCUAAUUGAUUAAACUUUUGUAGAUAUUCAAUUCAUGAAUUUGCCUUCCGAUUGAAUUUAUGAUUACGAACCUAUUUGAUUGAUGGUUCAUGUCUAUGAAACUCCAAAUAAUUGCCCCCUCAUUUCCCUUUUUUCUGUGUAUAUUUGGAAUUUAGACCAGAUUCCUAUUGGGUCGAGCACCCCACCCAUCCACUAAUGGUGCACCUUUGGAGGUGAUACCAGAAAAGCAUACAUUUAGCAGAAUCUCUAAAAGCAGUUUAAGCAGUAAAUAUUGCAGUUAGCAUGUUAAUCUCCCAUGUUAGAAUUAUUGUAGGACCCACCGAUAUUGGGGUACUGCUGUGACGUAUUGGUGGGCUUAACAUAAUAUGACCAUAUGGUGUAACUGAAUCCCCAUAUUUAUUUGCUAUGAUAUGUGAUUUCGAGUAGCCUUGUAAAACUGUAUUUUUAUUUAUUUAUUAUUUUUUUGUGAGCACAGUUCCCUAAUCUGUAUUUUCGAUAUAUUUACGGCACGCCUAUUAAAUAAUUAGUGUUAAUGAUGGAUUGUUAAACAAUCUCAUGGGCUCUAAAACUCAAACACUCACUGACACGUUUAAAAGGGCUCUAUCUCUUACUCUAAUUUGCAUAAAAUUAAAGUGUAAAUAAAAAGAAACAUUGAAUGAGGCCCCAUUCCGAUUGAUUGUGGAGAUCGAUUUUGUAACAGGAUCAGCGUACAAUGGUCUCAGGCUUGAGGACCAGAGCUGACCUGUUACCACGUCCAUCCCUUCUCCCUGUCCCUAAGGGUUCUGUGAAGCAACCUUCAGCUUUUCUUCUUCCAUAACCCACAGCAAAUCACUUGAGGAAGUGUUGAAUAGCUCUUUUGCAUCGCUCCCCAAACACCAGCCAAUGUGAAUUUUAUUAAUGACAGGACUCGGGAAGAUAACAGAAACACAGAUUUUAGAACAUAAAUCCCCAAUAUUCAGUCUUUUAGUGUCACAGAGCCUAUUAAUGUAAUCUAGUGGACACAAUGUUCUUUAUCUCUACCCCCUGAUUUUGUACGGGCUCUUUAAUACAGCAGACGGUGGGAUAUGAUGUCACAUUUCCCUGCAUCCAACUGCAUGAGGCACCAAACCAUAGGAAGAAGACACAGGAGUACUGAACGUUACAAGAGUAUUUACGUUUCCAGACUUUCUCCUAGAGAAUGGGC